CUGAAUAUGUGCGACCACAUGGUGAUCGCAACGUCAAAACAACACAUUUGACAACAAAAAAGUCGCUGCACAUAGAAAUCAUCAUACCAAAAAAUCAUAAAAUGUAUGUCCUCUCUAACAUUUUAAUCAGACCAAAUACAAAGUAGAAAAAAAAUAAAAUCAAGAUUUGAAAAAAAUGCAUAAAUGAUGGAGAAGAAGAAAUGAAUCAACCAAAUACUAAUCCGUACACAGCUAGCGCAUGCUUCAACUAACAACUUUUUAAUUAGAAGGCACACGAGUGCUCUUCCUCGUGGACAACCAAGCCCUAAAAAUAGAAUAGGGUAAGCAUUUCAACAACCCUACACCAAACAUCCUUCCACUUUAAUUUGAUUUGGUAUAGUGAAUAUUAUACUGUUUGUUAAUGUUGAAAAGUAGGAACACAAGUAGGGUCAGAUUCUACAGGUGUUUGGUUUCAUCUUAAAAUAACAUAACCGCCAUCAAGUCUUGUAUGCACCCUACCCUGGUCGAAGGAAAUUAUUAUUAUGGCCUCAAAUGUCAUCUUCAACAACUUCAAGUGGAGUGUAAGACACUAGCUUUUGUUUCUCAUGUUCACCGGACCUAAUUUAUUUCUCUCCAUCAUUUGGUUGCCUUGUUUUUAGGAAUGUUUUUACGGUUUUUUGAAGGAAAACAUUUUGUACGAAAUGUUGUUAUGAAAAAGCACAUAGAUUAUAAAGUAUAUAAUGAGUGAGAUUCAUAUCGAUAGUGCACUAGACAAAAGAGAUUUUGAUUCUCAAAUCUCAUCCCUCCCUCUCUUUUUCCUCUUGAUUUUUGUCGUUUUUCUAUCAAACUUUUUAAAUGAGUUUGUCUUUAAACUUUUUAAAUGAGUCUGUCCAUAUUUUUUCGUGAAGCAAAUCAAGAUUUUAAGUAAAACUAUCUUUAAGGUAGCGCUUUACCUCACAUGACCUUAAACUUUUUCAUGAUUAAGUUAUGAUAAAAGAAUUUUCAUAUAUAUUUUACGGUUAAUUUGCGAUUAAAUAGAGCUUUUAAAUUUUUCACAAUUCAAUUGAAGUUUACUUCAACUUUUUAUUUGGAGCCUCUUAAAAG
Molecule: long non-coding RNA, 1083 nt
Filed under: Lathyrus oleraceus (garden pea)
Lineage: Eukaryota; Viridiplantae; Streptophyta; Magnoliopsida; Fabales; Fabaceae
Description: Pisum sativum (pea) long non-coding RNA (PSAT_LNC014273)
Source: RNAcentral